This 1273-nucleotide ribosomal RNA is filed under the name uncultured bacterium. Its description in RNAcentral is "bacterial SSU rRNA". It matches the Rfam family "Bacterial small subunit ribosomal RNA", at positions 57 to 1343 of the family's 1533-position model. The record is from RNAcentral.
GCAGUCGAGGGGUAUUGGUUUUCGGACCAAGAGACCGGCGCACGGGUGCGUAACGCGUAUGCAACCUACCUUUUACAGAGGGAUAGCCCAGAGAAAUUUGGAUUAAUACCUCAUGGUAUAACACGACCGCAUGGUUGAGUUAUUAAAGUCACAACGGUAAAAGAUGGGCAUGCGUCCCAUUAGCUAGAUGGUAAGGUAACGGCUUACCAUGGCAACGAUGGGUAGGGGUCCUGAGAGGGAGAUCCCCCACACUGGUACUGAGACACGGACCAGACUCCUACGGGAGGCAGCAGUGAGGAAUAUUGGUCAAUGGACGCAAGUCUGAACCAGCCAUGCCGCGUGCAGGAUGACGGUCCUAUGGAUUGUAAACUGCUUUUGUACGAGAAGAAACACUCCUUCGUGAAGGAACUUGACGGUAUCGUAAGAAUAAGGAUCGGCUAACUCCGUGCCAGCAGCCGCGGUAAUACGGAGGAUCCAAGCGUUAUCCGGAAUCAUUGGGUUUAAAGGGUCUGUAGGCGGUUUGGUAAGUCAGUGGUGAAAGCCCAUCGCUCAACGGUGGAACGGCCAUUGAUACUGCCAGACUUGAAUUAUUGGGAAGUAACUAGAAUAUGUAGUGUAGCGGUGAAAUGCUUAGAGAUUACAUGGAAUACCAAUUGCGAAGGCAGGUUACUACCAAUUGAUUGACGCUGAUGGACGAAAGCGUGGGGAGCGAACAGGAUUAGAUACCCUGGUAGUCCACGCCGUAAACGAUGGAUACUAGCUGUUGGGAGCAAUUUCAGUGGCUAAGCGAAAGUGAUAAGUAUCCCACCUGGGGAGUACGGGCGCAAGCCUGAAACUCAAAGGAAUUGACCGGGGCCCGCACAAGCGGUGGAGCAUGUGGUUUAAUUCGAUGAUACGCGAGGAACCUUACCAAGGCUUAAAUGUAGUUUGACCGAUUUGGAAACAGAUCUUUCGCAAGACAGAUACAAGGUGCUGCAUGGUUGUCGUCAGCUCGUGCCGUGAGGUGUCAGGUUAAGUCCUAUAACGAGCGCAACCCCUGUUGUUAGUUGCCAGCGAGUAAUGUCGGGAACUCUAGCAAGACUGCCGGUGCAAACCGUGAGGAAGGUGGGGAUGACGUCAAAUCAUCACGGCCCUUACGCCUUGGGCUGCACACGUGCUACAAUAGCCGGUACAGAGAGCAGCCACUUCGUGAGGAGGAGCGAAUCUAUAAAACCGGUCACAGUUCGGAUCGGAGUCUGCAACUCGACUCCGUGAAGCUGAAUCGCUAGUAAUC